RNAcentral lists this ribosomal RNA (472 nucleotides) under uncultured bacterium. RNAcentral's name for it is "bacterial SSU rRNA". It matches the Rfam family "Bacterial small subunit ribosomal RNA", at positions 355 to 825 of the family's 1533-position model. The record is from RNAcentral.
UGGGGAAUAUUGGACAAUGGGCGAAAGCCUGAUCCAGCCAUGCCGCGUGUGUGAAGAAGGUCUUCGGAUUGUAAAGCACUUUAAGUUGGGAGGAAGGGCAUUAACCUAAUACGUUAGUGUUUUGACGUUACCGACAGAAUAAGCACCGGCUAACUCUGUGCCAGCAGCCGCGGUAAUACAGAGGGUGCAAGCGUUAAUCGGAAUUACUGGGCGUAAAGCGCGCGUAGGUGGUUUGUUAAGUUGGAUGUGAAAUCCCCGGGCUCAACCUGGGAACUGCAUUCAAAACUGACAAGCUAGAGUAUGGUAGAGGGUGGUGGAAUUUCCUGUGUAGCGGUGAAAUGCGUAGAUAUAGGAAGGAACACCAGUGGCGAAGGCGACCACCUGGACUGAUACUGACACUGAGGUGCGAAAGCGUGGGGAGCAAACAGGAUUAGAUACCCCCGUAGUCCCUGAGCGGGCUGGCAAGGCGCAU